UUUUUACUGUCGAAUUCUCAUUCCAUGCAGGCCUCUAUUACGGGUGUGCACUGAAUACCCAUUCAGUAGAUAGGGCUCUGAAUUGGCUAUUCUUUGUCGUCCGUAAUAGCCUUCUACUUUUGAAGACAAAAAUCUCUUUUCAUCUGCCUUCUUCAUUUUCUCUAGAUGCUCCUGUUAGAGUGAGUAACAAAGUUGGAGGCCAAAUCUACUGCCAUUAUCGGUGAAUGAUCAGUUAACCUCCGAUUGUCGAAUUAACGAGAUUUAGUGCUUUCCAACAAGCUGGUUUUGUAUGAUUUGGAAAAUCAGACCAUUGGAUGGACUAAGUACAAUUCUUGAUCAAAUACUCACCCCUAGUAGCUGGUGAGCCUUGGAACAUGGUUGACUGAUAUGUACCAAGAAAGAUAUGAAGUUAGGGAAAAGAAGAGUUUUAAGAAGAGACUAAGGGGAUUGAAGGCCAUGGGGAGUAUGGAAAGUGAUUCAGAUUGAAGAUACAUCAAUGGCAGCAGCAGAGCCCUUUUUCUUUUUUGAUAUUUUUGGGGGAAUAUUUUUGGAGUUGAUGUUAAUGGGUUGGGGAAAAAAUAUAGAAAAGUUAAAACAAGGUCUGCUUGCUGGGGUUUGUUUCGUGUUUAGAUGUUUGAUAUUUUAUAUAUAUAAAUGAGAAUAAUUAUUGUUUUUGGAUUAA
Molecule: long non-coding RNA, 682 nt
Organism: Gossypium raimondii (Peruvian cotton)
Lineage: Eukaryota; Viridiplantae; Streptophyta; Magnoliopsida; Malvales; Malvaceae
Exons: 5
Source: RefSeq, a predicted model, not a curated record